Molecule: ribosomal RNA, 373 nt
Filed under: uncultured organism
Description: partial 16S ribosomal RNA
Rfam family: Bacterial small subunit ribosomal RNA
Source: RNAcentral
GUAGGUGGCAAGCGUUGUCCGGAAUUAUUGGGCGUAAAGCGCGCGCAGGUGGGUUCUUUAAGUCUGAUGUGAAAGCCCCCGGGCUCAACCGGGGAGGGUCAUUGGGAACUGGGGAACUUGAGUGCAGGAGAGGAAAGUGGAAUUCCACGUGUAGCGGUGAAAUGCGUAGAUAUGUGGAGGAACACCAGUGGCGAAGGCGACUUUCUGGCCUGUAACUGACACUGAGGCGCGAAAGCGUGGGGAGCAAACAGGAUUAGAUACCCUGGUAGUCCACGCCGUAAACGAUGAGUGCUAAGUGUUGGGGGGUUUCCGCCCCUCAGUGCUGCAGCUAACGCAUUAAGCACUCCGCCUGGGGAGUACGGUCGCAAGACUG